ACGGGAGGCAGCAGUGGGGAAUAUUGGGCAAUGGACGAAAGUCUGACCCAGCGACGCCGCGUGAGGGAAGAAGGUCUUCGGAUUGUAAACCUUAGUUAUCGGGGAAGAAGAAAGUGACGGUACCCGAAGAGAAAGCCACGGCUAACUACGUGCCAGCAGCCGCGGUAAUACGUAGGUGGCGAGCGUUAUCCGGAUUUACUGGGUGUAAAGGGUGUGUAGGCGGGACUGCAAGUCAGAUGUGAAAACUAUGGGCUUAACUCAUAGCCUGCAUUUGAAACUGUGGUUCUUGAGUGUCGGAGAGGUAAAUGGAAUUCCUUGUGUAGCGGUGAAAUGCGUAGAUAUAAGGAGGAACACCAGUGGCGAAGGCGGAUUGCUGGACGACAACUGACGGUGAGGCGCGAAAGCGUGGGGAGCAAACAGGAUUAGAUACCCUGGAA
RNAcentral lists this ribosomal RNA (437 nucleotides) under uncultured Oscillospiraceae bacterium. Its description in RNAcentral is "bacterial SSU rRNA". It matches the Rfam family "Bacterial small subunit ribosomal RNA", at positions 341 to 792 of the family's 1533-position model. Lineage: Bacteria; Bacillati; Bacillota; Clostridia; Eubacteriales; Oscillospiraceae. The record is from RNAcentral.